CAGGGGAUAUUGCGCAAUGGGCGAAAGCCUGACGCAGCAACGCCGCGUGGAGGAAGAAGGCCUUCGGGUUGUAAACUCCUUUUCUCGGGGAAGAAGCAAGCGACGGUACCCGAGGAAUAAGUCUCGGCCAACUACGUGCCAGCAGCCGCGGUAAUACGUAGGAGGCAAGCGUUAUCCGGAAUUAUUGGGCGUAAAGGGCGUGUAGGCGGCUUCCAAAGUCUACAGUGAAAUCUCCCGGCUUAACUGGGAGGGGGCUAUAGAUACUUGGAGGCUUGAGGGCAGCAGAGGGAGAUGGAAUUCCCGGUGUAGUGGUGAAAUGCGUAGAUAUCGGGAGGAACACCAGUGGCGAAGGCGGUCUCCUGGGCUGUACCUGACGCUGAGGCGCGAAAGCGUGGGGAGCAAACAGG
RNAcentral lists this ribosomal RNA (407 nucleotides) under uncultured Chloroflexota bacterium. RNAcentral describes it as "bacterial SSU rRNA". It matches the Rfam family "Bacterial small subunit ribosomal RNA", at positions 355 to 776 of the family's 1533-position model. The record is from RNAcentral. Lineage: Bacteria; Bacillati; Chloroflexota.